GCGUCCUUGAACUAAAUAUUCAGCAAUGUUUAUAUAUUAUGCAUCCUGGGUGACUGAUUUUAUGUCAACACGUAAAAAGAUUGAAAAAAUCAUUAAUCCAUGCAGUGGUAACUUGUUUUGCUAAAUCACACAGAGCAAGUGGUUGGACUUAGAUAAUCAGAUAAGUAAUAUAACAUGCCUAAAUUGUACAUUAAUUAUAAGAAGUGUCUUUUGUACUUAUUUUUAUUAUUUUAGUGAUCUUUGUUGUUAUAUGAUUUGACUUUGAUGUAUUGAAGACCCAUUGGUGGCCUAAGGCUGUUUGCUUCUCUUUGGUCGGGUUGUUGUCUCUUUGACACAUUCCCCGUUCCAAUUCUCAUUUUUAUUCUUAUAUUAAAUUUAUGCCUCUGGUGCUCGUAACCACCUUGCUUUGCUGCGUUUAUCCCCCGCAACUAAAUGUUAGGGGGUGGUGCAUAUGGUUUUAUCUGUAUCCGUCCGUCCUUCCAUCCUCCUGUCUCAUUAUGGGUAUAUAGUUAUUCCAGAUAACUCCGCCUACAGUUUGAAUGCUAGGCCGAAGUUUUCAUGCACUUUGCUGGUUGUUUUUAAAAGUAUUAUAUAUUAAAGAUGUGCAAGCAGCAUGUGGUUAGGGUUUAGAUUAUAUAUAUAUAUUGCAUAAGAGGUGCAUAUGCUAUAGCGUUUCCAGAAAACACCUCAUUUGUCCAGUCAAACACAGAUUUUACCUCAAACUAAUUGCAAAAUAAAAUGUUUUAGUUCUAAUCUAUAGCAUUAUGCCCUUUGUAUACACAGAAAAAAAGUCCCAUAAAAUCUAACUUGAGGAAAUUUAAACUCAAAAUCAGCAUUUUUAAUUUCCUAUGGAAAUUAACAGUGAAAGGGGAAAUAACUCUUGCAAAAAUGAGUCUUUUUUGGUCAGUUUUUGGUUGUUUUUCUUGAAAUUUAUGUAAAGUGUGAUACUUUGAUGGGGUUAUAAGUUUGUAGUUGACUAUAUUGUAUAAUCUUCUGCUCAUGAAAUGUACAAAACCGAAGUGUUAUGGGUAGUUUUAUUUUUUUCGUGCGUUUUUCACUAAAGAAAAUGCAAACUUGAAGCUUUAUAACCAUUUUGAAAAAAAUAACGUGAAAAUGUGGUAUUGUUUAUACUUGUAUGUUAAAAUUUUUUCGGCAACUAACUUAUCUAAAGGAACUUUAAACCACAAAAAUAAAAAUACAUGCUUAAUUAUUUUUAUUAAAUUUGAGAUUCUUUACCUUGACAUGUUGAAAAAUUCAAUAAAUGUUCAACUAAUGAGGGUUUGGAUGGGGUUAAAUGAUUAAAGAAUAAUGCCCUUAAAAAUGAAGAUUAGAGAAUAAGGGGCAAAAAAAUGAAGAUUAGAGAAAUGCGUGGUCUAAUUGUUUGAAGAUUAGAGAAAAAAGGGGUCAAUUUUUUGAAGAUUAGAGAAAAAAGGGGUGAAAAUUAAAUGUUUACAUAACAGACCCCCCCCCCCCCCUCUCCAUCCAGACCCUCACUAAUGAAUUACGAAAUGUAGAUUAUAGCUUGAUAAAAUAUAUGAAAACACCUUUAGAGUUGUUUGUUAUACUCUAAAGACCGCUAAAAAAUCAAAAAUCAGUACAUUCUGAUGAAUAGAAGCGUUAAAGUUAUAAUUUUGUAUCCAUUUUAUUGAUAUUUCUGCCUUUUUGCAAGAGUUAUCUCCCUUUUCAAUGCAAAUCUCCAUAGCAAUUUUGAAUGGUGAUUUUCUAAGUCUUCCUCAAGUUAGAUUUUAUGGGACUUUUUCUGUGUUUAUUUGGGGUAUAAUACUAAAGAUUAAAACAUAAAAAUCUUAUGUUGCAAUUACGGGUUAGGGUCAAAUUUAUGCUAGUUUGACUGGACUACAUACAGUUCAAAUGCUAGAAAGUUUUCACUUUGCUGGCUGUUUGUACAUAUUUUGAAGGUGUGCAUGUGGUAUAUUGAAGUUUUUGUUUUUAAGGAUGUCAGAAGCAAAUAUUGAAGCAUUCCUGGCUGAGGAGCCAAGCCCAUUGCUAGUUUACCAAGAUAUCAAAUUACCAUCCUUUUUACCUCUAAGAGGGGAUGGACUUGAGAAGAGAAUGAAAGAAAUUACCGAAUUUAACUUCCUUGAAAGCGACAUACUAAUAUGCGGUUAUCCGAAAUCAGG
This 2138-nucleotide long non-coding RNA is filed under the name Mytilus galloprovincialis (Mediterranean mussel). The record is from RNAcentral. Lineage: Eukaryota; Metazoa; Mollusca; Bivalvia; Mytilida; Mytilidae.